UAAAAGUUUUAUUCUUGCUUAAUGUUAAAUAUUUUUAUUUAGUAAAUAUAUUUUUAUAUAGAUUGGUUUAUUUAAAUGUAUUAUUUAUAUUUGAAUUAAUAAUAAAAUUUGUUUCAGAAAUAAAAUUUAAAAAUGGUGGAAAUUGUGCCAGCAAUCGCGGUUAAACAAUUGUUUUUAUUUAAUAAUAUUUAAAUUAUUAGUAAUUUGAUUAAAUUAAAUUUUUUAUUUAAUUUUAAGUGAAAUUUAAUUAAAUAUAAUAAUUUUUUUAAUUUAAGUAUCUAAAAAAAUUAGAGUUUAAACUAGGAUUAGAUACCCUAUUAUAUCUAGAUUAAUUAAAAAUUUAAGGUAGUAAAUGUUAUAAUCAGGAAACUUAAAGAAUUUGGCGGUGUUUAUUCUAAUUAGAGGAAUAUGUUUUUUAAGCGAUAACCCCCGGGUAUUUUACUUAAGUUAAUUAUUUUGUAUAUCUCCGUCUAAAAAAAUUUUUAUAAAAUAUAUUUUAUUUAACUAAAAAGUUUGAAGUCAGGUCAAGGUGCAGAUUAUAUUUAAGUUAAAAUGUAUUACAAUAAAGUUAUUUUUGGAUUUUUUAUUAAUAAUAAGAAUGAAAAUGGAUUUAAAAGUAAAUUUAUUUAUAUAAUAAUUGUUUGAAUUAUGAAAAUAAAUAUGUACAUAUUGCCCGUCGUUCUCUCUAAAAAGAGACAAGUCGUAACAAAGUAGAUUUAUUGGAAAAUGAAUCUGUAUUCAA
This 742-nucleotide non-coding RNA is filed under the name Paracaecilius japanus. Lineage: Eukaryota; Metazoa; Arthropoda; Insecta; Psocodea; Caeciliusidae. The record is from RNAcentral.